GAAACUAAAAAAAUUUGGCGGCAAUUUAAUUUUUUAGAGGMACUUGUUUCGUGAUCGAUAUUCCUCGGGUUAGUUAUUUUGAUUAGUUUAGCUUAUAUACCGUUGUUAUAAGAAUAUAUUUUUAGAUAAUUUUCUUAAAAUCAAUGAGAUUGAAUUUCAGAUCAAGGUUUAGUUCAUAUCAGAGGGAAAAUGAGUUACAAUAAAGGUAUUUAUAUGGAUGUAAGUUUUAAUAUUUAUAUGAAGGUGGAUUUAAGAGUAAGUUUAUUGAAUACAAGAUUUAUUGAAGUUAAAUCUAAUUUGUGC
Molecule: ribosomal RNA, 303 nt
Filed under: Zorotypus sp. 2 YM-2019
Lineage: Eukaryota; Metazoa; Arthropoda; Insecta; Zoraptera; Zorotypidae
Description: partial 12S ribosomal RNA
Source: RNAcentral